Molecule: ribosomal RNA, 492 nt
Filed under: uncultured bacterium
Lineage: Bacteria
Description: partial 16S ribosomal RNA
Rfam family: Bacterial small subunit ribosomal RNA
Source: RNAcentral
AGUGAACGCUGGCGGUAGGCCUAACACAUGCAAGUCGAACGGCAGCACAGUAAGAGCUUGCUCUUACGGUUGGCGAGUGGCGGACGGGUGAGGAAUACAUCGGAAUCUACUUUUUCGUGGGGGAUAACGUAGGGAAACUUACGCUAAUACCGCAUACGACCUACGGGUUAAAGCAGGGGAUCUUCGGACCUUGCGCGAUUGAAUGAGCCGAUGUCGGAUUAGCUAGUUGGCUGGGUAAAGGCCCACCAAGGCGACGAUCCGUAGCUGGUCUGAGAGGAUGAUCAGCCACACUGGAACUGAGACACGGUCCAGACUCCUACGGGAGGCAGCAGUGGGGAAUAUUGGACAAUGGGCGAAAGCCUGAUCCAGCCAUACCGCGUGGGUGAAGAAGGCCUUCGGGUUGUAAAGCCCUUUUGUUGGGAAAGAAAAGCAGCAGGUUAAUACCCCGCUGUUCUGACGGUACCCAAAGAAUAAGCACCGGCUAACUUCGUG